UUUUUUUUUUUUGGUGGGGGGGUGGGUGUGGUGGGGGCGCAUGGAACUGUGGAUGAUUUGAGGGGGAUAUUGAUCAACCCUUGACAAGAAAUUAGCAGAAGCAUAUAUAGAGCCCGUCAAUAUCUGCGGUGCUUGAAAAACUUGUAUUUCAUGGUGACAAAGGAACACCUAAUAGCAGGUUCCCCGGCCAAUGAUUUCUAAAACAAACAUUAGAUAUUCAACAGUUGUGCCCCAGUUCUGAACAGCUAAGAUAAGACCAAAAUACCUUAUUCUUUCCAUAAAUAACUGAAUCUGAGACAUAUACAAGCUCUUUGCUCUCGUCAUUAAACAGAGACCCAAA
This 340-nucleotide unclassified non-coding RNA is filed under the name Hevea brasiliensis (rubber tree). Lineage: Eukaryota; Viridiplantae; Streptophyta; Magnoliopsida; Malpighiales; Euphorbiaceae. The record is from RNAcentral.